Molecule: long non-coding RNA, 378 nt
Organism: Calliphora vicina (urban bluebottle blowfly)
Lineage: Eukaryota; Metazoa; Arthropoda; Insecta; Diptera; Calliphoridae
Exons: 2
Source: RefSeq, a predicted model, not a curated record
UUUCCCCUUGAUCUAUUACUAAAACAACAACUAAAAAAUUUUUAUUUUUCAGAUAAAUCUUCAAUUGUGGAAGUCUGUACACGAUUAUAAAUGUCCCGCGCUAUCACCUUGUUCCUUUAAUGUGUUCCGGAUUUAUCCAAGAAGCAUAUACAAGAUCUUAUAUUGGCUGGUGUGAAUCAUCGAGUUUGGCUGGUAGUUUACUAUUGAUUGGUGAUCCUGAUGAUGUUUUUAUUUCAAAUUUUUAACAUUUUACAUUAUUUUUCUACAAAUUGUGAAAUCAAGAAAAUGUUUUGUAUUUGCAAAAACAUCUAUAAAUCUUGAAAUAAUUUUCAUUACGAAAAUUAAAUAAAAUUAUUACCCACGUUAUAAUGAAGAAAA